GAAUCUUGGAAUGAACCUUCGGGGGAAUGAAGAGAUGGAGAGCGGCGGACGGGUGAGUAACGCGUAGGCAACCUGCCCUUUGCAGAGGGAUAGCCACUGGAAACGGUGAUUAAAACCUCAUAAUGCUAAGAUGUCACAUGGCAAUUUAGUCAAAGAUUCAUCGGCAAAGGAUGGGCCUGCGUCUGAUUAGAUAGUUGGUGAGGUAACGGCUCACCAAGUCAACGAUCAGUAGCCGACCUGAGAGGGUAAUCGGCCACAUUGGAACUGAGACACGGUCCAAACUCCUACGGGAGGCAGCAGUGGGGAAUAUUGCACAAUGGGGGAAACCCUGAUGCAGCAACGCCGCGUGAAGGAAGAAGGCCUUUGGGUCGUAAACUUCUGUCCUAAGGGAAGAUAAUGACGGUACCUUUGGAGGAAGCCCCGGCUAACUACGUGCCAGCAGCCGCGGUAAUACGUAGGGGGCGAGCGUUAUCCGGAAUUAUUGGGCGUAAAGAGUGCGUAGGCGGUUUUUUAAGCGCGGGGUGAAAGGCAGUGGCUUAACCACUGUUAGCCCUGCGAACUGGGAGACUUGAGUGCAGGAGAGGAAAGCGGAAUUCCUAGUGUAGCGGUGAAAUGCGUAGAUAUUAGGAGGAACACCAGUGGCGAAGGCGGCUUUCUGGACUGUAACUGACGCUGAGGCACGAAAGUGUGGGGAGC
Molecule: ribosomal RNA, 696 nt
Filed under: uncultured bacterium
Lineage: Bacteria
Description: bacterial SSU rRNA
Rfam family: Bacterial small subunit ribosomal RNA
Source: RNAcentral